Molecule: ribosomal RNA, 482 nt
Filed under: uncultured bacterium
Lineage: Bacteria
Description: partial 16S ribosomal RNA
Rfam family: Bacterial small subunit ribosomal RNA
Source: RNAcentral
AUUGAACGCUGGCGGCAUGCUUUACACAUGCAAGUCGAACGGUAACAGGCCGCAAGGUGCUGACGAGUGGCGAACGGGUGAGUAAUGCAUCGGAACGUGCCCAGUCGUGGGGGAUAACUACUCGAAAGAGUAGCUAAUACCGCAUACGAUCUAUGGAUGAAAGCGGGGGACCGUAAGGCCUCGCGCGAUUGGAGCGGCCGAUGUCAGAUUAGGUAGUUGGUGGGGUAAAGGCUCACCAAGCCAACGAUCUGUAGCUGGUCUGAGAGGACGACCAGCCACGCUGGGACUGAGACACGGCCCAGACUCCUACGGGAGGCAGCAGUGGGGAAUUUUGGACAAUGGGCGCAAGCCUGAUCCAGCAAUGCCGCGUGCAGGAAGAAGGCCUUCAGGUUGUAAACUGCUUUUGUACGGAACGAAACGGCUCUGGUUAAUACCCGGGGCUAAUGACGGUACCGUAAGAAUAAGCACCGGCUAACUACGUG